GAUCAUGGCUCAGGAUGAACGCUAGCUACAGGCUUAACACAUGCAAGUCGAGGGGCAGCAUGGUCUUAGCUUGCUAAGGCCGAUGGCGACCGGCACACGGGUGAGUAACGCGUAUCCAACCUGCCUUACACUCUUGGACAGCCUUCUGAAAGGGAGAUUAAUACAAGAUNUUAUCAUGAGUAAGCAUUUUCGCAUGAUUAAAGGUUUACCGGUGUAAGAUGGGGAUGCG
Molecule: ribosomal RNA, 229 nt
Filed under: uncultured bacterium
Lineage: Bacteria
Description: partial 16S ribosomal RNA
Rfam family: Bacterial small subunit ribosomal RNA
Source: RNAcentral